GAUUGAACGCUGGCGGCAGGCCUAACACAUGCAAGUCGAGCGGCAGCRGGAAKUAGCUUGCURCUUUGCYGGCGAGCGGCGGACGGGUGAGUAAUGUCUGGGAAACUGCCUGAUGGAGGGGGAUAACCACUGGAAACGGUGGCUAAUACCGCAUAACGUCGCAAGACCAAAGUGGGGGACCUUCGGGCCUCAUGCCAUCAGAUGUGCCCAGAUGGGAUUAGCUUGUAGGUGGGGUAACGGCUCACCUAGGCGACGAUCCCUAGCUGGUCUGAGAGGAUGACCAGCCACACUGGAACUGAGACACGGUCCAGACUCCUACGGGAGGCAGCAGUGGGGAAUAUUGCACAAUGGGCGCAAGCCUGAUGCAGCCAUGCCGCGUGUAUGAAGAAGGCCUUCGGGUUGUAAAGUACUUUCAGUGGGGAGGAAGGCGYGAUGUUUAAUACGCAUCRCGAUUGACGUUACCCACAGAAGAAGCACCGGCUAACUCCGU
This 490-nucleotide ribosomal RNA is filed under the name Enterobacteriaceae bacterium 'ARUP UnID 313'. RNAcentral describes it as "bacterial SSU rRNA". It matches the Rfam family "Bacterial small subunit ribosomal RNA", at positions 27 to 506 of the family's 1533-position model. The record is from RNAcentral. Lineage: Bacteria; Pseudomonadati; Pseudomonadota; Gammaproteobacteria; Enterobacterales; Enterobacteriaceae.